CCGAGUGUAAAAACUCCCAAACCAUUGUGAACCUACCACUGUUGCUUCGGCGGCCUCGCCCCGGGCGCGUUCGCGCGGCCCGGACCCAGGCGUCCGCCGGGGGCUCCAAACUCUUGUCUUUUAGUGUAUUUCUGAGUGGCAUAAGCAAAUAAAUCAA
Molecule: unclassified non-coding RNA, 157 nt
Filed under: Acremonium sp. KMU 4528
Lineage: Eukaryota; Fungi; Ascomycota; Sordariomycetes; Hypocreales; Bionectriaceae
Source: RNAcentral